Gastrolobium bilobum is the source of this 302-nucleotide long non-coding RNA. RefSeq lists it as uncharacterized. The transcript has 3 exons. NCBI's taxonomy places the organism in Eukaryota, Viridiplantae, Streptophyta, Magnoliopsida, Fabales, Fabaceae. The record is from RefSeq and is a predicted model, not a curated record.
GAGAGAUCUUCUCCCCCAAAGAAUUCGAAUUUCAUGGAAAAUAUGGGUUUUGAUGGAGCUUGAAGCCAUGGGAGCUUGAAGCAAGCUUCUCCCUUCAUUCUAGGUGUACCUAGGGACUGUGAACGUUUGGAUUCUCGUGGAGUAUGAUAAGUAGCUUGUUCUUCAAGUAAGCAGAUUGUAAAGCUCAAAGAGGAAGUGAGCCCAGGGUAUGGAGGGUUUUCCAUAAACCUGGAGUUUACUAGAGAUUCGUCUCUAACCCCGUUUGGGGAUAUGAUUUCAGGAACACAGUUAAUUGAAGAGCC